RNAcentral lists this small RNA (731 nucleotides) under Pan troglodytes (chimpanzee). RNAcentral's name for it is "retained intron". Lineage: Eukaryota; Metazoa; Chordata; Mammalia; Primates; Hominidae. The record is from RNAcentral.
UAGAGGAAGGAGGUUGCGGGUAGAAGACUCCAUACUUUCUGUGAUGCCUAUUCCUUAGCUUGAGAUGAAUGUUUUCUCAGUAUCCUAUGCUGAAAACAGGUAGAUACUAAUAUCGAUCUUCAAGGGAGGGCUGUUGAGUUUUGAAUAAGACAAAAACAUGGAAGCAAUCAGCACCAUGCUGGAAUCAAGGCUAUCUGUAAUCACAGGGCUAUUUGAAAAAGAGAAGAAAAGGUGUCUUGAAAUUCAACCAACAUGUUUCAAUUAUUUGCUCCUAAGAACAACAGAAGUUUCAACAUUCUGCCAACAAAGUAACUCCUGGAAGAUUGGCACAGAAGAAGGCACAAGGAGAGCCUUUAUAUAACCAAAGAUAUUUUUGGACCAUGAAUUCGGAAAUUCUCGGAGCCACCCAUCAGUGCCUGAGCUUCAGUGAGUCCAUAUCCCAUGUCACCCACGGCAAAGGAGAAUCUAAGACUUCUGAAGAGUUUCUUGCUUCUUUCCUGUGGGGCAGUGACUCCACUUCCCAGCAGUAAUGGAAUAUCCUGAAUUAGCUACAUUAAUGUUAGAACCAUUUGGACCUCACCCAGGACUUCAACUACAUUAUGGUAAGACAAAGCCAGAGCUAGAAGGCAAUAAUUUCUUCCUUCUGGCUCAACAGUACCUAUCUUGUAGAGUUAUUUGAGGAAUGGUUGUAUUCUUGAUGUUAUAAUUAUUAACUCUGCCCAUAUACCGAC